CUAGGUUAGAGGCUGGGGGAGGUGCUGACCUUGAGAGCGCACGCGGGAGGCGCAGGCGCAGCACAGCUGCCCUUUCUUGGAGACUUUCCUUACAGACCUGUCCCUCUGUCGUCUCUGCUCCCUUCUUUAGUGGCUUUUCCAGCUCUAUCCUUCCUCAGGGCAGUGGAAUUUGUUCGACAUCUACCAGGAGCAGAGAAACCGGCAAGAGAAUUCUGCCUAUGUAAUACAUUCCAGUAUGGACGGUUUCCAUUUAGAUUAAAAAGUAUAUGUCAUCAGAUGGAAAAAAGUCAAACUCCCGUAUACCUUCUAAUGUUGUGCUGGUUUUUAUUUUCCAAAAGACAACUCCCAUAUACCCUCAAAAUGUUGUGUUGUUUUCUGUACCUAUAAACUCUCUCUCUGUCUUUUUAUUUGGUUAUACAUAGUACUAAUGACAGGCUUGAAGUGGAUAUACAGAGUACCUUUAACCCAGAAAUUCAUCCCACAAUUUAGGGAUCCUUGCUUAGUCCCAACUGUAUCU
Non-coding RNA from Kogia breviceps (pygmy sperm whale), 517 nucleotides. NCBI's taxonomy places the organism in Eukaryota, Metazoa, Chordata, Mammalia, Artiodactyla, Physeteridae. The record is from RefSeq and is a predicted model, not a curated record.